RNAcentral lists this small nucleolar RNA (107 nucleotides) under Theobroma cacao (cacao). RNAcentral describes it as "Plant small nucleolar RNA R71". It matches the Rfam family "Plant small nucleolar RNA R71". Rfam says of the family: R71 is a member of the C/D box family of snoRNAs containing the C (UGAUGA) and D (CUGA) box motifs. Multiple nearly identical copies of this snoRNA have been identified in Arabidopsis, and it is thought to function as a 2'-O-ribose methylation guide for 18S ribosomal RNA. Lineage: Eukaryota; Viridiplantae; Streptophyta; Magnoliopsida; Malvales; Malvaceae. The record is from Rfam by way of RNAcentral.
AGCCCAAGGUGUGGACAUCUCUUGAGCAAAUCUUUAAAUAGUUCCCAAGCCUCAUAUAAGGAUUCAACAUCAAAUUGUGUGAAGGAAGUUAUAUCAUUCCUCAACUU